ACGGCAGCGCGGGGCAACCUGGCGGCGAGUGGCGAACGGGUGAGUAAUAUAUCGGAACGUACCCUGGAGUGGGGGAUAACGUAGCGAAAGUUACGCUAAUACCGCAUACGAUCUAAGGAUGAAAGUGGGGGAUCGCAAGACCUCAUGCUCCUGGAGCGGCCGAUAUCUGAUUAGCUAGUUGGUGGGGUAAAGGCCUACCAAGGCAACGAUCAGUAGCUGGUCUGAGAGGACGACCAGCCACACUGGAACUGAGACACGGUCCAGACUCCUACGGGAGGCAGCAGUGGGGAAUUUUGGACAAUGGGCGCAAGCCUGAUCCAGCAAUGCCGCGUGAGUGAAGAAGGCCUUCGGGUUGUAAAGCUCUUUUGUCAGGGAAGAAACGGCGGUUUCUAAUACAGAUCGCUAAUGACGGUACCUGAAGAAUAAGCACCGGCUAACUACGUGCCAGCAGCCGCGGUAAUACGUAGGGUGCAAGCGUUAAUCGGAAUUACUGGGCGUAAAGCGUGCGCAGGCGGUUUUGUAAGUCUGUCGUGAAAUCCCCGGGCUCAACCUGGGAAUUGCGAUGGAGACUGCA
This 574-nucleotide ribosomal RNA is filed under the name Zoogloea sp. Rud03. RNAcentral describes it as "bacterial SSU rRNA". It matches the Rfam family "Bacterial small subunit ribosomal RNA", at positions 66 to 637 of the family's 1533-position model. The record is from RNAcentral. Lineage: Bacteria; Pseudomonadati; Pseudomonadota; Betaproteobacteria; Rhodocyclales; Zoogloeaceae.